This 203-nucleotide microRNA precursor is filed under the name Oryza meridionalis. Its description in RNAcentral is "MIR812 microRNA precursor family". It matches the Rfam family "MIR812 microRNA precursor family". Lineage: Eukaryota; Viridiplantae; Streptophyta; Magnoliopsida; Poales; Poaceae. The record is from Rfam by way of RNAcentral.
CAAGAGUUUAACUGUGUACUGUUUUCAUAUUCAAUAUUUAACCAUCCGUCUUAUUUAAUUUUUUUAUGAUUAAUAAUUUUAUGUAAUUAGAUAAUAAAACAUAAAUAGUAUUUUAUAUUUAACUAGUUUUAAAAAAAAUUAUAUAUUUUUUUAAACAAGACGGAUGGUUAAUUGUUGAUAUAGAAACCACGGCUUCAAUUGAA